AAGUCAUCUUUUCUGAAGAUUUUGACUUCUCAUAGUUGUUAUUUGUUAUACGAAUGUAGUUGGUGUCCGUAAAGCUCGAGAAAUUGCUGGAAGCUUUCAGUUGCCUAUAAUUGGGGUGCAUCACAUGGAGGCUCAUACUAUAGUAGCGAGGUUGACUCAUAGAAACCUGCAGUUUCCCUUCAUGGAACUGCUUAUUUCAGGAGGACACAAUCUUCUAAUUCUUGCACGUGAUCUGGGAUUACAUACAACUUGGAACAACCAUAGAUGAUGCCAUUGGUGAAGCAUAUGACAAAACAGUAAAGUGGCUUGGUUUAGAUAUGAGGAGUGGUGG
Long non-coding RNA from Beta vulgaris subsp. vulgaris (sugar beet), 331 nucleotides. RefSeq lists it as uncharacterized. The record is from RefSeq and is a predicted model, not a curated record. NCBI's taxonomy places the organism in Eukaryota, Viridiplantae, Streptophyta, Magnoliopsida, Caryophyllales, Amaranthaceae. The transcript is spliced from 3 exons.